Molecule: ribosomal RNA, 102 nt
Filed under: Neurospora calospora
Lineage: Eukaryota; Fungi; Ascomycota; Sordariomycetes; Sordariales; Sordariaceae
Description: 5.8S ribosomal RNA
Rfam family: 5.8S ribosomal RNA
About the family: 5.8S ribosomal RNA (5.8S rRNA) is a component of the large subunit of the eukaryotic ribosome. It is transcribed by RNA polymerase I as part of the 45S precursor that also contains 18S and 28S rRNA.
Source: RNAcentral
AAACUUUCAACAACGGAUCUCUUGGNUCUGGCAUCGAUGAAGAACGCAGCGAAAUGCGAUAAGUAAUGUGAAUUGCAGAAUUCAGUGAAUCAUCGAAUCUUU